This 495-nucleotide ribosomal RNA is filed under the name uncultured bacterium. RNAcentral's name for it is "partial 16S ribosomal RNA". It matches the Rfam family "Bacterial small subunit ribosomal RNA", at positions 28 to 507 of the family's 1533-position model. The record is from RNAcentral.
GACGAACGCUGGCGGCGUGCCUAAUACAUGCAAGUAGAACGCUGAAGGAGGAGCUUGCUUCUCUGGAUGAGUUGCGAACGGGUGAGUAACGCGUAGGUAACCUGCCUGGUAGCGGGGGAUAACUAUUGGAAACGAUAGCUAAUACCGCAUAAGAGUAGAUGUCGCAUGACAUUUGCUUAAAAGGUGCAAUUGCAUCACUACCAGAUGGACCUGCGUUGCAUUAGCUAGUUGGUGAGGUAACGGCUCACCAAGGCAACGAUACAUAGCCGACCUGAGAGGGUGAUCGGCCACACUGGGACUGAGACACGGCCCAGACUCCUACGGGAGGCAGCAGUAGGGAAUCUUCGGCAAUGGACGGAAGUCUGACCGAGCAACGCCGCGUGAGUGAAGAAGGUUUUCGGAUCGUAAAGCUCUGUUGUAAGAGAAGAACGGGUGUGAGAGUGGAAAGUUCACACUGUGACGGUAUCUUACCAGAAAGGGACGGCUAACUACGUG